GAUGAACGCUAGCUACAGGCUUAACACAUGCAAGUCGAGGGGAAACGGCAUCGAAAGCUUGCUUUUGAUGGGCGUCGACCGGCGCACGGGUGAGUAACGCGUAUCCAACCUGCCCAUCACUUGGGAAUAACCUUGCGAAAGUAAGACUAAUGCCCAAUGACAUCCCACGAAGGCAUCCGAAUGGGAGUAAAGAUUUAUCGGUGAUGGAUGGGGAUGCGUCUGAUUAGCUUGUUGGCGGGGUGACGGCCCACCAAGGCAACGAUCAGUAGGGGUUCUGAGAGGAAGGUCCCCCACAUUGGAACUGAGACACGGUCCAAACUCCUACGGGAGGCAGCAGUGAGGAAUAUUGGUCAAUGGGCGAGAGCCUGAACCAGCCAAGUAGCGUGCAGGAUGACGGCCCUAUGGGUUGUAAACUGCUUUUAUAAGGGAAUAAAGUGGGUCACGUGUGACUUUUUGCAUGUACCUUAUGAAUAAGGACCGGCUAAUUCCGUG
This 492-nucleotide ribosomal RNA is filed under the name uncultured bacterium. Its description in RNAcentral is "partial 16S ribosomal RNA". It matches the Rfam family "Bacterial small subunit ribosomal RNA", at positions 28 to 507 of the family's 1533-position model. The record is from RNAcentral.